This 2671-nucleotide long non-coding RNA is filed under the name Homo sapiens (human). RNAcentral describes it as "non-protein coding lnc-ADAM2-6:4". The record is from RNAcentral. Lineage: Eukaryota; Metazoa; Chordata; Mammalia; Primates; Hominidae.
GUGGGUGGGCGCGCGGGGCUGUAGGAUCCACCCGCCUCGGGAUCCACGGAGCUGGGUCCCCGCCGCGCCCCGCGGACCCCACGGCCCUUCCGCUCCGCUCGGCCUCCACCACCCUGGCCUCGAGCUGCAGCCGUUCCAAGGACAACGGCCAUCCCUGUGGCUGGGCCGCCGGCUACGCAAUGCUGUCUCUCUUGCUGAUCCUCUCAGGCCUGGGCCGGCUGACCUCCGCGGGCCCACGCCACUUAUUCCAUCAAAAUUGAGGGGAAACCAUACACUUCCUGCUUGAAAAACAGUCAUUUUUACACCCACAUUUCCUGGUGUAUUUAUACAACAAAUCAGGAACAUUGUAUGCAGAUUCUUCAUUUUCAAAGGGUCAUUGCUUUUACCAAGGAUAUGCUGCAGACAUUCCAAAAUCAGUUGUGGCACUACGCACCUGUUCUGGACUCAGAGGAUUACUGCAGUUAGAUAAUAUCAGUUAUGGUAUUGAACCAUUGGAAUCUUCACCUACAUAUAAGCAUGUAGUUUAUCGAAUUAAAAAUGAUGCUAUUGGUCAUUCCUCCUUUCAAGAAAAUUAUCCUGUGGCUCAAUAUAUAGAUCAGUCCUACAGGAUUCUUGUCAAAUCAGACAUAAAUUCAGGUGCCAUGCUAUCGAAAAGAACUCUGAAAAUACAAAUCAUUAUGGAUAAAGCCAUGUAUGCUUAUAUGGGCUCCACGGUGGCAGUUGCAGUUGAGAAAGUUUUCCAAAUCUUUGGUCUUAUCAACACUAUGUUUUCCCAGCUUAAUAUGACAGUUAUGCUGUCUUCCUUGGAGAUCUGGUCAGAUCAAAAUAAGAUUUCAACAAGUGGUCAUGCUGAUGAAAUACUACAGCGAUUUUUGCCUUGGAAACAAAAAUUUUUGUUUCAAAGGUCUCAUGAUAUGACAUACUUAUUAAUUUAUAGGAACCAUUCUACUUAUGUGGGAGCAACAUAUCACGGAAUGGCAUGCGAUCCAAAGUUUGCAACAGGAAUUGCUCUGUAUCCAAAGAAAAUCACUGCAGAGGCCUUUUCAGUUGUUAUGGCACAGUUGCUUGGAAUUAAUCUGGGAUUGACAUAUGAUGAUAUCUACAAUUGUUACUGUCCAGGAACUACAUGCAUAAUGAAUCCUGAUGCGAUAUGAUCCCAUGGUAUGAAGUUUUUUAGCAGUUGCAGCAUGGAUGGAUUUAAACGGAUAGUUCUGCAGCCUGAACUUAAAUGUUUUCAGGAUAAAACAGUUUCAAAAAUGACUUACCGAAAAUCUUCAACUUGUGGCAAUGGAAUUUUGGAACCUACAGAGCAGUGUGAUUGUGGCUAUAAAGAGAGACAGGAUUUCACCAUGUUGGCCAGGCUAGUCUCAAACUUCGGACCUCAGGUUAUCCACCUGCCUCAGCCUCUCAAGGUGCUGGGAUUACAAACCAUACACAACCCCAUUUUGAAAAGGAGAAAUAGACAAGAAGAAAUGGGUAACAGGCCUCAAGCAAGUCUGAAACCCAAGAGAGCCAAUGAUGGACAUUCAGACUCCUGAAUAAUUUCCUUUGAUGACAUGUCCUGCAUCUUCUAUAAACAGGCAUGCACUCAUAAAAAAUGCUGUAAUCCUGCAGAUUGUACUCUAGUUAGAUCUGCAGAAUGUGGCACUGGAUCAUGCUGUAACAAUAAAACUUGUACGAUCCACGAAAGAGGCCAUGUCUGCAGAAAAAGUGUAGAUAUGUGUGAUUUUCCAGAAUAUUGCAAUGGAACAUCUGAGUUUUGUGUACCUGAUGUGAAAGCUGCUGAUUUAGAAUACUGCAGUAAUAAGACUAGCUAUUGCUUUAAAGGAGUAUGCAGAGAAAGGGAUAGACAGUGUUCACAGUUAUUUGGAAAAUUUGCUAAGUCUGCUAAUCUUCUGUGUACAGAAGAAGUGAAUUUUCAAAAUGACAAAUUUGGAAACUGUGGUUCCCGUUGUGAUUUUUUUGAUAUCCUUUGUGGAAAGAUUGUUUGUCACUGGAUACAUUCAGAACUAGUACCAAUGACAGACUUAGACAUACAAUAUACUUACCUUAGAGGUCACGUAUGUUUGUCCGCACAUGCAAGAAAUGGUUCAAAACAAUCGGAGACCUAUACAGAAGAUAUAACUGCAUGUGGCCAACACAAGGUAUGUCACUCCCGAGAAUGCAGAAAUUUUAGUGAACUAAAUAUAACAAAAUAUACUACAAAUUGUGGACAGAAUGGGAUUUGCAAUGAACAUUUCCAUUGUCAAUGUGAUCCUGGUUAUGCUCCUCCAGAUUGUGAGCCAGCAAUGUCAUCACCAGGAGGAAGUAUCAAUGAUGGAUUUUGGCUUACAGUAGAAAAAAGUGUACCCUUGCUUCCAAAACGACGUGCUGCUCCUAAAAACAAUGGUCUUUUGAUCAGUUUCUACAUUUUUUCACCUUUGCUCAUUUUAAUUGCUAUUGUUAGUCUUAAAUGGAAUAAAAUGAAGAGAUUUCGGAGCAAAGUGGGAACAGUAAGCAGCAGAUCUAUCUCAGAAGACAGCGGUAGUAACAGCAGCCAGUCACAGAGUUAAAGUAACCAAGUGAUAAAAUCAAAGCCAUCGGAUGAAGAAAGGAUAUUACCAAGAAACUCACCAUUAACUUAAAACUUUCAACUUCACAGAAAAAAAUAAAUCAUAUGACUAAAAGCAUA